AGUGAACGCUGGCGGUAUGCCUAACACAUGCAAGUCGAACGGCAGCACAGUAAGAGCUUGCUCUUACGGGUGGCGAGUGGCGGACGGGUGAGGAAUACAUCGGAAUCUACUUUUUCGUGGGGGAUAACGUAGGGAAACUUACGCUAAUACCGCAUACGACCUACGGGUGAAAGCAGUGGAUCUUCGGACCUUGCGCGAUUGAAUGAGCCGAUGUCGGAUUAGCUAGUUGGCGGGGUAAAGGCCCACCAAGUCGACGAUCCGUAGCUGGUCUGAGAGGAUGAUCAGCCACACUGGAACUGAGACACGGUCCAGACUCCUACGGGAGGCAGCAGUGGGGAAUAUUGGACAAUGGGCGCAAGCCUGAUCCAGCCAUACCGCGUGGGUGAAGAAGGCCUUCGGGUUGUAAAGCCCUUUUGUUGGGAAAGAAAAGCAGCAGGUUAAUACCCCGCUGUUCUGACGGUACCCAAAGAAUAAGCACCGGCUAACUUCGUG
This 492-nucleotide ribosomal RNA is filed under the name uncultured bacterium. Its description in RNAcentral is "partial 16S ribosomal RNA". It matches the Rfam family "Bacterial small subunit ribosomal RNA", at positions 29 to 507 of the family's 1533-position model. The record is from RNAcentral.